GUGUCAGCCGCCGCGGUAAUACGGAGGGGGCGAGCGUUGUCCGAAGUUACUGGGCGUAAAGCGCGCGUAGGCGGGGAGGCAAGUCCGCUGUGAAAGCCUGAGGCUCAACCUCAGCGGGUCGGUGGAUACUUCCUCUCUUGAAGGCGUUAGGGGGAGAUGGAAUGACCGGUGUAGCGGUGAAAUGCGUAGAUAUCGGUCGGAACACCAGUGGCGAAGGCGGUCUCCUGGGACGUUCUUGACGCUGAUGCGCGAAAGCUGGGGGAGCGAACGGGAUUAGAAACCCCAGUAGUCC
This 292-nucleotide ribosomal RNA is filed under the name uncultured bacterium. Its description in RNAcentral is "partial 16S ribosomal RNA". It matches the Rfam family "Bacterial small subunit ribosomal RNA", at positions 505 to 796 of the family's 1533-position model. The record is from RNAcentral.